ACAGAGGCCUCGAGCGUUGCGCGGAAUCACUGGGCUUAAAGGGUGCGUAGGCGGAUGUGCAAGUGCCUUGUGAAAUCCCAGAGCUCAACUCUGGAACUGCUUGGUAGACUGCACGUCUUGAGGUCGGUAGAGGUCGCUGGAACGGUUGGUGGAGCGGUGAAAUGCGUAGAUAUCAAGAGGAACACCUGAGGUGAAGACGGGUUGCUGGGCUGACACUGACGCUGAGGCGCGAAAGCUAGGGUAGCAAACGGGA
This 253-nucleotide ribosomal RNA is filed under the name uncultured prokaryote. RNAcentral's name for it is "partial 16S ribosomal RNA". It matches the Rfam family "Bacterial small subunit ribosomal RNA", at positions 525 to 777 of the family's 1533-position model. The record is from RNAcentral.